Mastacembelus armatus (zig-zag eel) is the source of this 82-nucleotide small nucleolar RNA. Its record names the gene SNORD79. It matches the Rfam family "Small nucleolar RNA SNORD79". Rfam says of the family: snoRNA U79 or Z22 is found in intron 7 of the gas5 gene in humans and is also present in mice. The record is from Ensembl. Lineage: Eukaryota; Metazoa; Chordata; Actinopteri; Synbranchiformes; Mastacembelidae.
AGCUGUCAAUGAUGAUUUUUUGUUUUAAACAAUGGGAAUCUCUCUGAAAAAGAGUGAAAGAUGACUUUUUUCUGAUGCAGUG